AUUACCAGGGUUUUGAAAAGGUCGACAUGGUGAUUGAAGCUGUUUUUGAGGACCUCAAUGUUAAGCACAAAGUACUAAAGGAAGUAGAAACAGUGAUUCCAGAUCACUGUAUCUUUGCCAGUAACACAUCUGCUCUCCCAAUCAAUGAAAUUGCUGCUGUCAGCAAAAGACCUGAGAAGGUGAUUGGUAUGCACUACUUUUCUCCUGUGGACAAGAUGCAGCUACUAGAGAUCAUCACAACAGAGAAAACAUCCAAGGACACAACUGCUUC
Molecule: long non-coding RNA, 271 nt
Filed under: Marmota monax (woodchuck)
Lineage: Eukaryota; Metazoa; Chordata; Mammalia; Rodentia; Sciuridae
Source: RNAcentral